This is a long non-coding RNA of Mauremys reevesii (Reeves's turtle), 257 nucleotides long. RefSeq lists it as uncharacterized. The record is from RefSeq and is a predicted model, not a curated record. Lineage: Eukaryota; Metazoa; Chordata; Testudines; Geoemydidae. The transcript is spliced from 3 exons.
UUUGCAAACCCAAACCUGCCCCGGACACCCCCCCCCCCGCCUGGGGAAGCAGAACUGCCACCAAAGGAGGGGGGACCCCGGACGAUCCCCGCUGAGCAGCCCCCUGCUCCCCAGUGAGGACGCCCCUUGGAGCGAAGGCUGCAGAGUAACCACCAGCUUGUCCCAUCCUCCCAGGGCCCGGGGCAGGGAAAUGGCUGCAGUGAUACCGGCUCAGGGGCCGGUGGCCUUCGAGGAGGUGGCUGUGUAUUUCACCCAGG